This is a non-coding RNA of Caenorhabditis elegans, 150 nucleotides long. Lineage: Eukaryota; Metazoa; Nematoda; Chromadorea; Rhabditida; Rhabditidae. The record is from Ensembl.
GUACGGCGUAUUGGAGAUAUGCUGAAAAAUCAAAAAAUUUAUUAUUUAAGAAUGACAAUUUUUCUAUAUCAAAAGUAACUCGUAUGUUAGCAAAUAUUUAAAAGUAGACUAAUUGAAAAACAUACUGAGUUCCACGUAAUCGCAUCCUGA